Molecule: microRNA, 21 nt
Filed under: Tribolium castaneum (red flour beetle)
Lineage: Eukaryota; Metazoa; Arthropoda; Insecta; Coleoptera; Tenebrionidae
Description: tca-miR-11619a-3-3p
Source: miRBase by way of RNAcentral
UGAAGCGUCAUUGGCUUGGUU